Molecule: ribosomal RNA, 1535 nt
Filed under: Escherichia coli
Lineage: Bacteria; Pseudomonadati; Pseudomonadota; Gammaproteobacteria; Enterobacterales; Enterobacteriaceae
Description: partial 23S ribosomal RNA
Rfam family: Bacterial large subunit ribosomal RNA
Source: RNAcentral
GGUAUCAGAAGUGCGAAUGCUGACAUAAGUAACGAUAAAGCGGGUGAAAAGCCCGCUCGCCGGAAGACCAAGGGUUCCUGUCCAACGUUAAUCGGGGCAGGGUGAGUCGACCCCUAAGGCGAGGCCGAAAGGCGUAGUCGAUGGGAAACAGGUUAAUAUUCCUGUACUUGGUGUUACUGCGAAGGGGGGACGGAGAAGGCUAUGUUGGCCGGGCGACGGUUGUCCCGGUUUAAGCGUGUAGGCUGGUUUUCCAGGCAAAUCCGGAAAAUCAAGGCUGAGGCGUGAUGACGAGGCACUACGGUGCUGAAGCAACAAAUGCCCUGCUUCCAGGAAAAGCCUCUAAGCAUCAGGUAACAUCAAAUCGUACCCCAAACCGACACAGGUGGUCAGGUAGAGAAUACCAAGGCGCUUGAGAGAACUCGGGUGAAGGAACUAGGCAAAAUGGUGCCGUAACUUCGGGAGAAGGCACGCUGAUAUGUAGGUGAAGUCCCUCGCGGAUGGAGCUGAAAUCAGUCGAAGAUACCAGCUGGCUGCAACUGUUUAUUAAAAACACAGCACUGUGCAAACACGAAAGUGGACGUAUACGGUGUGACGCCUGCCCGGUGCCGGAAGGUUAAUUGAUGGGGUCAGCGCAAGCGAAGCUCUUGAUCGAAGCCCCGGUAAACGGCGGCCGUAACUAUAACGGUCCUAAGGUAGCGAAAUUCCUUGUCGGGUAAGUUCCGACCUGCACGAAUGGCGUAAUGAUGGCCAGGCUGUCUCCACCCGAGACUCAGUGAAAUUGAACUCGCUGUGAAGAUGCAGUGUACCCGCGGCAAGACGGAAAGACCCCGUGAACCUUUACUAUAGCUUGACACUGAACAUUGAGCCUUGAUGUGUAGGAUAGGUGGGAGGCUUAGAAGUGUGGACGCCAGUCUGCAUGGAGCCGACCUUGAAAUACCACCCUUUAAUGUUUGAUGUUCUAACGUUGACCCGUAAUCCGGGUUGCGGACAGUGUCUGGUGGGUAGUUUGACUGGGGCGGUCUCCUCCUAAAGAGUAACGGAGGAGCACGAAGGUUGGCUAAUCCUGGUCGGACAUCAGGAGGUUAGUGCAAUGGCAUAAGCCAGCUUGACUGCGAGCGUGACGGCGCGAGCAGGUGCGAAAGCAGGUCAUAGUGAUCCGGUGGUUCUGAAUGGAAGGGCCAUCGCUCAACGGAUAAAAGGUACUCCGGGGAUAACAGGCUGAUACCGCCCAAGAGUUCAUAUCGACGGCGGUGUUUGGCACCUCGAUGUCGGCUCAUCACAUCCUGGGGCUGAAGUAGGUCCCAAGGGUAUGGCUGUUCGCCAUUUAAAGUGGUACGCGAGCUGGGUUUAGAACGUCGUGAGACAGUUCGGUCCCUAUCUGCCGUGGGCGCUGGAGAACUGAGGGGGGCUGCUCCUAGUACGAGAGGACCGGAGUGGACGCAUCACUGGUGUUCGGGUUGUCAUGCCAAUGGCACUGCCCGGUAGCUAAAUGCGGAAGAGAUAAGUGCUGAAAGCAUCUAAGCACGAAACUUGCC